This 208-nucleotide unclassified non-coding RNA is filed under the name Hevea brasiliensis (rubber tree). The record is from RNAcentral. Lineage: Eukaryota; Viridiplantae; Streptophyta; Magnoliopsida; Malpighiales; Euphorbiaceae.
GCUAACCCAGAUUUUGUGACAGUUGAGGCUAGAGACUUGCGUGUAAUGCCUGGUACACUUGCAUCCAAAUAUGAAAAGCUUGGUGGUGAAGUGAAAUGGAUGGGCAAACCUGAUAAGGUCAUCUACCAAUCCGCAAUGGCUAUGGUUGGUGUCGAUGCCUCUGAUACAAUUGCUGUUGGUGAUUCACUCCACCAUGACAUCAAGGGCG